This 495-nucleotide ribosomal RNA is filed under the name uncultured bacterium. Its description in RNAcentral is "partial 16S ribosomal RNA". It matches the Rfam family "Bacterial small subunit ribosomal RNA", at positions 28 to 507 of the family's 1533-position model. The record is from RNAcentral.
GACGAACGCUGGCGGCGUGCCUAAUACAUGCAAGUAGAACGCUGAAGGAGGAGCUUGCUUCUCUGGAUGAGUUGCGAACGGGUGAGUAACGCGUAGGUAACCUGCCUGGUAGCGGGGGAUAACUAUUGGAAACGAUAGCUAAUACCGCAUAAUAUUGACUAUUGCAUGAUAGUCAGUUGAAAGGUGCAACUGCACCACUACCAGAUGGACCUGCGUUGUAUUAGCUAGUUGGUGGGGUAACGGCUCACCAAGGCGACGAUACAUAGCCGACCUGAGAGGGUGAUCGGCCACACUGGGACUGAGACACGGCCCAGACUCCUACGGGAGGCAGCAGUAGGGAAUCUUCGGCAAUGGACGGAAGUCUGAACGAGCAACGCCGCGUGAGUGAAGAAGGUUUUCGGAUCGUAAAGCUCUGUUGUAAGAGAAGAACGAGUGUGAGAGUGGAAAGCUCACACUGUGACGGUAGCUUACCAGAAAGGGACGGCUAACUACGUG